Cyprinus carpio (common carp) is the source of this 1083-nucleotide long non-coding RNA. The record is from Ensembl. NCBI's taxonomy places the organism in Eukaryota, Metazoa, Chordata, Actinopteri, Cypriniformes, Cyprinidae.
UUUUCUAAAUGAUGUAUGGAUUAUCAAGUAAACCUUAAGUUGCUUAAGUGUUCAUCUUGAAAUAUCACUUACAAUAUAAUGUUAUUCUUAGAUUUACUUAUUUAUAAAAAUCUGUAAAAUGACCCGAAGGUGGACAUUUUAACAAUAAAUCUAAAAGGCCUUUUACUUGCUAAAAAAGUAUAAAUCAUUAACCAGGCAAUAGAAGUCAUGUACAGUAGAAGAUUAUGUACAGCAGGUUUUCAGAAAGGGUUUGAACAUUUUGAUAAGUUAGAGGCCUUUGCAUGAUUGCAUGAAUAUUAUUGUAGGAGAAAUCCUCCCUCAUGUCAUGCAAUAAAUAUUUCAUGAAAUCUAUCAAGACUGUACCACUGGACUAACAUAACACAUAUGUUUCAACUUUUCCUUGUUUAAAUGUAUAUAAUGUCAUGUAUAGAACCCAAGCGGAGCUGAACAGAGAGCCCAGAGACUUUUUAACAGCACAUGAAUAUAAAGAAGUGGAGAGAGAUGAUCUCAGGAGACCAAAUAAAAGUUCUGAACUAGGGUUCAUAAGGUGUCAUGGAUCAUGCUGGUGCGGAUCAGCAACUGACAGUCCAGAAAAGCAUAGUUCUGAAGGACCAUUCCAAGAACCCCAUCAAAGAAAUUAAAAGGAAAAAUAACAAGCACCAAAUAUAGGGCAAUUUCUUCAAAUCUUCUGCUUGUUCUUAGUCCAUAAUAAGAACAGAAAAGCUGUUUUGUUUAUUUUGAAUGAAUCAAACCAGUUGGUGCCAGGAAAUGAUUUGGAGCGCAAACACUUUUAAUGACUUAACUGAAAGAUGUUGCUUAAAUCAUUUAAAGAUGUAUGUGAGUGCAUGUGUGAUUCUACCAGUUUGUUUUUUAGAGAUUUUAUAUAGGACAUCUGAGUCAAACUAACAUUUGGACUAAAGCAGCCAAAGUAGUGACAUCACUUGCUCUCCGAUACAAUAUUGUUUACAAUUUUCUGUUUGUUACCCAGAUUUUGGACUUCUGUUUUGGAUUACUCACAUUUGGGUAUUGGCUUUUUGAUUUGGAUUGCAGAAUAAAUCGAUACAGUCGGGUCCUUCUGAUUCA